GCUCUCGUCGUCUAAUGGCUAUGAUAUCAGAUUCCUAUCGUGACGAUUGCUACUCGAGGGGUUAUCUGAAGGUUCCGGGUUCGAGUCCCGGCGGGAGUA
Pilatotrama ljubarskyi is the source of this 99-nucleotide non-coding RNA. Lineage: Eukaryota; Fungi; Basidiomycota; Agaricomycetes; Polyporales; Polyporaceae. The record is from the annotation of a GenBank genome assembly.